CCAGACUCAUACGGGAGGCAGCAGUGGGGAAUAUUGGACAAUGGGGGCAACCCUGAUCCAGCCAUGCCGCGUGUGUGAAGAAGGCCUUUUGGUUGUAAAGCACUUUAAGCAGGGAGGAGAGGCUAAUGGUUAAUACCCAUUAGAUUAGACGUUACCUGCAGAAUAAGCACCGGCUAACUCUGUGCCAGCAGCCGCGGUAAUACAGAGGGUGCGAGCGUUAAUCGGAAUUACUGGGCGUAAAGCGAGUGUAGGUGGCUCAUUAAGUCACAUGUGAAAUCCCCGGGCUUAACCUGGGAACUGCAUGUGAUACUGGUGGUGCUAGAAUAUGUGAGAGGGAAGUAGAAUUCCAGGUGUAGCGGUGAAAUGCGUAGAGAUCUGGAGGAAUACCGAUGGCGAAGGCAGCUUCCUGGCAUAAUAUUGACACUGAGAUUCGAAAGCGUGGGUAGCAAACAGGAUUAGAUACCCUGGUAGUCCACGCCGUAAACGAUGUCUACUAGCCGUUGGGGUCCUUGAGACUUUAGUGGCGCAGUUAACGCGAUAAGUAGACCGCCUGGGGAGUACGGCCGCAAGGUUAAAACUCAAAUGAAUUGACGGGGGCCCGCACAAG
This 607-nucleotide ribosomal RNA is filed under the name uncultured bacterium. RNAcentral's name for it is "bacterial SSU rRNA". It matches the Rfam family "Bacterial small subunit ribosomal RNA", at positions 331 to 929 of the family's 1533-position model. The record is from RNAcentral.